UGAUAAUGGUGAGGGCAAUUUCUGAGUAUACUCUUAAAUCUCUCCCAAGCUUGGUAGAGAUUUUCUCCUUCUUUCUGCCUGAAACUUAGAAUCUUAUUUCUCAAAUG
This is a non-coding RNA of Capsicum annuum, 107 nucleotides long. NCBI's taxonomy places the organism in Eukaryota, Viridiplantae, Streptophyta, Magnoliopsida, Solanales, Solanaceae. The record is from Rfam.